This 131-nucleotide ribosomal RNA is filed under the name uncultured bacterium. Its description in RNAcentral is "partial 16S ribosomal RNA". It matches the Rfam family "Bacterial small subunit ribosomal RNA", at positions 356 to 504 of the family's 1533-position model. The record is from RNAcentral.
GGGGAAUAUUGCACAAUGGGGGAAACCCUGAUGCAGCGACGCCGCGUGAGUGAAGAAGUAAUUCGUUACGUAAAGCUCUAUCAGCAGGGAAGAAAAUGACGGUACCUGACUAAGAAGCCCCGGCUAACUAC